Molecule: ribosomal RNA, 254 nt
Filed under: uncultured bacterium
Lineage: Bacteria
Description: partial 16S ribosomal RNA
Rfam family: Bacterial small subunit ribosomal RNA
Source: RNAcentral
UACGAAGGGGGCUAGCGUUGCUCGGAAUCACUGGGCGUAGAGGGUGCGUAGGCGGCUAAUUAAGUCAGCGGUGAAAUUCCACAGCUCAACUGUGUGAACUGCCAUUGAUACUGGUUGGCUUGAGUACAGAUGAGGUAGGCGGAAUUGACAGUGUAGCGGUGAAAUGCUUAGAUAUUGUCAAGAACACCUAUUGCGAAGGCAGCUUACUAAACUGUAACUGACGCUGAGGCACGAAAGCGUGGGGAUCAAACAGG